This 635-nucleotide ribosomal RNA is filed under the name uncultured crenarchaeote. Its description in RNAcentral is "bacterial SSU rRNA". It matches the Rfam family "Archaeal small subunit ribosomal RNA", at positions 509 to 1142 of the family's 1478-position model. Lineage: Archaea; Thermoproteati; Thermoproteota. The record is from RNAcentral.
CUUAAAGUGUCCGUAGCCGGUUUAGUAAGUUCCUGGUAAAACCGGGCAGCUUAACUGUCCGUAUGCUAGGAAUACUGCUAUGCUAGAGGGCGGGAGAGGUCUGAGGUACUACAGGGGUAGGGGUGAAAUCUUAUAAUCCUUGUAGGACCACCAGUGGCGAAAGCGUCAGACUGGAACGCGCCUGACGGUGAGGGACGAAAGCCAGGGGAGCGAACCGGAUUAGAUACCCGGGUAGUCCUGGCCGUAAACGAUGCAUACUAGGCAAUGGUGCGGCCAUGAGCCGCAUCAGUACCGUAGGGAAACCGUUAAGCGUGCCGCCUGGGAAGUACGGUCGCAAGGCUAAAACUUAAAGGAAUUGGCGGGGGAGCACCACAAGGGGUGAAGCCUGCGGUUCAAUUGGACUCAACGCCGGGAAACUUACCAGGGGAGACAGCAGAAUGACAGUCAGGUUGACGACCUUACUCGACGAGCUGAGAGGAGGUGCAUGGCCGUCGCCAGUUCGUGCUGUGAGGUAUCCUGUUAAGUCAGGCAACGAACGAGAUCCGCGCCUUUAUUUGCCAUCAAGAAGUCACGACUUCGUUGGGAACACUAAAGGGACCGCCGUCGAUAAGACGGAGGAAGGAGCGGGCAAAGGC